This 472-nucleotide ribosomal RNA is filed under the name uncultured bacterium. RNAcentral describes it as "bacterial SSU rRNA". It matches the Rfam family "Bacterial small subunit ribosomal RNA", at positions 355 to 825 of the family's 1533-position model. The record is from RNAcentral.
UGGGGAAUAUUGGACAAUGGGGGCAACCCUGAUCCAGCCAUGCCGCGUGUGUGAAGAAGGCCUUCGGGUUGUAAAGCACUUUUGUACGGGAAGAAAUCGUUUGGGUUAAUACCCUGGGCGGAUGACGGUACCGUAAGAAUAAGCACCGGCUAACUUCGUGCCAGCAGCCGCGGUAAUACGAAGGGUGCAAGCGUUACUCGGAAUUACUGGGCGUAAAGCGUGCGUAGGCGGUUUGUUAAGUCAGAUGUGAAAUCCCCGGGCUCAACCUGGGAAUGGCAUUUGAUACUGGCGAGCUAGAGUACGGUAGAGGGUGGUGGAAUUCCCGGUGUAGCGGUGAAAUGCGUAGAGAUCGGGAGGAACAUCUGUGGCGAAGGCGGCCACCUGGACCAGUACUGACGCUGAGGCACGAAAGCGUGGGGAGCAAACAGGAUUAGAUACCCCUGUAGUCCCUGAGCGGGCUGGCAAGGCGCAU